GGAGAUGGACAUGGACAGGGGCUGAAACUGCAGUACCAGCAGAUGGGGAGCUUAAGAAGGAAGCUAGUUCAUGGCACAGCACCCGUAAAGUCCCCAGAAUUGGAGGCACCAGAUUCUUCUGAAAGAAAAGGAGCAAUUCAGCACUUGUCAUGCAGAUAAGAGGUCAACACCCCAGGACGGAGUGAAAACCUAAGGGUCAUCAAGACAGGAGGAUAUGAGGCAGAAUCACCACACAAGCUAACCUGAUGUACAUAUGACAUUAAUCCAAUAGACUUAGGAAUAAGAUACAGGGGGUUUUCCUGAAUGAUUCGAGUAUAUCCCCAUUCAUAUUAAGAAAACAAAGUAUUGGCCAAGCGUGGUGGCUCACGCCUGUAAUCCCGGCACUUUGGAAGGCCGAGGCCAGUGGAUCACCUGAGAUGGACUCAACGACUCUCUUACCGUCCAGCUCUCAAGUCCCUUCUCUUGUGAAAAUGGAAAAGUUGAACUACAGUUGAGAUAUUAUUCCCAGGUGUUCUUUGGAACACAGGGGAUUUCUCCAAAAGGCACAGAACAAAUUGCCUCCAAACAGCCAAGAUUCCAGCAGAAGCUGGAGUAGCAGACUACUUGGAUCUUCAAAGUACCUGGCCCUGAGUCAGUUAAGGAAGAUCUUUUCUUCUCUUUUGUACAAUCCUAUGAUGAGAGCUGCAAAGUGAACUGACUAAGAGCUUCUGCCUUGAUCAUUGACCUCCCAAUCCUAAUAAUAUGUUCACUGGCCAAACUUCCUAAUCGAUUUGUCUUUUGGAUAUAACGUUCCUCCUACUGUUUGCCUGAUUGAGAAAUCUGCUACAGAACAUGACCGGUUAGCAUUCCCACCAACCCCAGUGCUACACUGACUGUCUUUCGAUGGACUUUGCUCCUUGCUGCCUCUCUGAGGUCCCAGACCUUCAGAGUGACCUUCACAGCUCUGCCUAACUUUCUGUCAUACUUCUAUCAAGAGAGACAGCUAAAUCAAUAUUUUUAAUGUGCUUUGCUGUCGGAAUUCGAUGAUCUGUCACAGUUCUUGCCCAAUACACCCCAUCAUUAUUGUUAAAAUGUUUUUAGCUUUGUUUGUAGAAUUGCUUUAACUGGUUUCAUCUCUGGGAGCUACACUUUGAAAUAUAACUUUAGCAACAUUUUACUAUACUUUUUCACAACCCAGAGCAGUACUAUUUUAUGCUUAGUGGUUAAACUAAUUCCAUAAAUCUUUUGCAACUAUCCUCUAUUCUUUUUCUUGUAAUUUUUACCUGGGAAGGUUUUUACUGAUAAUCAUCCUAUCCUGAGUCAUCCCACAAACCAAUCUGUCUCACUAAUCAUUGCUUCUAACCUACAGACUAAGCAUAACUUCUGCUAAAUGAUCUUUGAUAAGAUGCUAUGACUCUAUAAAGUCUUUGAUAUUCAUGUCUAAAUUUAAUCACUUGUAGAUUUUCAUAGAAUCAAUCUUUCACUUCUACAAUUGGGAGUAUUUAUAAGUUGUUUAUCUUAAACAGUUCCUCUAUCACGCUUUUCACGUUAAAUAAAGCAAUCCCUUCAAAUCAA
This 1554-nucleotide long non-coding RNA is filed under the name Homo sapiens (human). RNAcentral's name for it is "hepatic lncRNA metabolic regulator 1". Lineage: Eukaryota; Metazoa; Chordata; Mammalia; Primates; Hominidae. The record is from RNAcentral.